CUUUACAAAUCACACCUCUCUAGCGCGCUUUGCCAGUGCUGUGUAGAUCAGGCCUUUAAGGUCUUCCUGUGCUUCCGUUUCCCAUCUGUACAGUGGAGACACUAGCACUGCCCUGCCUCACACAGGCGUUGUGAAGAUAAAUACAUUAAAGAUUGUGAAGCACUCUGAGAUCUACGCACACUAUAUAAACGAGAGGGACCAUCUGAAGAUCCGGCUGGUUCCCCACCACGUGGUCAAUGAAACUCAGCUUGCCACUUGGUCUGGGAAAGAAACACCAGGUGCAUCUGAGCCUGAAACUGCAAGCAUAACCGGGAGGUGAUGGACCCCAAACAGAGGCAAAACAGAAGACGUUUGCAAGAGACCAUGCAAAGCACAAUGCCUGAGUUCAGCACAGGUCUAACUAGAGCUCACAUCUAUUGCAUACAGACAGCCCA
Molecule: long non-coding RNA, 434 nt
Organism: Mauremys reevesii (Reeves's turtle)
Lineage: Eukaryota; Metazoa; Chordata; Testudines; Geoemydidae
Exons: 3
Source: RefSeq, a predicted model, not a curated record